UAUGUGUGUGUGUGUGUGUGUGUGUGUGUGUGUGUGUACACGUGCGUGCGCACACACACACACACAAAUC
This is a non-coding RNA of Podarcis lilfordi (Lilford's wall lizard), 70 nucleotides long. The record is from the annotation of a GenBank genome assembly. Lineage: Eukaryota; Metazoa; Chordata; Lepidosauria; Squamata; Lacertidae.